CCUACGGGAGGCUGCAGUGAGGAAUAUUGGUCAAUGGGCGCGAGCCUGAACCAGCCAAGUAGCGUGAAGGAUGACUGCCCUACGGGUUGUAAACUUCUUUUAUAAAGGAAUAAAGUGAGGCACGUGUGCCUUUUUGUAUGUACUUUAUGAAUAAGGAUCGGCUAACUCCGUGCCAGCAGCCGCGGUAAUACGGAGGAUGCGAGCGUUAUCCGGAUUUAGUGGGUUUAAAGGGUGCGCAGGCGGAAUGUCAAGUCAGCGGUAAAAUUUCGGGGCUCAACCCCGUCGUGCCGUUGAAACUGGCGUGCUUGAGUGAGCGAGAAGUAUGCGGAAUGCGUGGUGUAGCGGUGAAAUGCAUAGAUAUCACGCAGAACUCCGAUUGCGAAGGCAGCAUACCGGCGCUCAACUGACGCUCAUGCACGAAAGCGUGGGUAUCGAACAGGAUUAGAUACCCCAGUAGUC
RNAcentral lists this ribosomal RNA (459 nucleotides) under uncultured bacterium. RNAcentral describes it as "partial 16S ribosomal RNA". It matches the Rfam family "Bacterial small subunit ribosomal RNA", at positions 338 to 795 of the family's 1533-position model. The record is from RNAcentral.